AUUCACUCCCUCCAAACCGUGCCCCUUCUCUUUUGGCGGGAAAAUCCCUCUCUCAGUUCCCAACAUUUUUGCCCUCUUUCUUCAAUCUUCUCCGAUGACCUAAAACCCUAGUUAGUGUCAUCUGUAUUCUGUAAUAGCACAACUAAGCUCAAUCGAAACAUAAAAUGGCUCCAAAGAAAAGAACAAGUUCAGGAUCAACGAAGAAAUCAAGCAAUCAAAGCCAGAACCUUCAGCAUCAGCAGCAAUCUCAGCCGUCCAAAUUCGGGAUCCAGCAUUUCUUUGAACGCCACACCCAAAAUGUCCUCUCUCAGAAAUCCAAACCCCUCCUCGUUCCCCACAACUCCAAUUCCAACUCAUUUCAAAUCCCUCAAGAAAAUUCCAGUGUCUCAGUACCAGAAACUUCUAGAAAUGAUGGAUUGAAUUUGAAAAAGUGUGACAAGGAUAGUGCGGUGUCUCGAGAUAAAGGUUAUAAAAAUGUAAAUAAAUCGGAUCAUAUUGAUGUAACAGAGAGAUUUAAGGAUAGGGGAGUUGGGGAUGGUAAAAACAAGGAAAAAAGAGUUACUUUGAAAAUGAAUGACUCGGGUGGUCCGUCUCAGAGUACACCUACGGAGAAUCUGGUAACUGCAGGUUCAGGGAAGGAGAAAAAUCAAGCAGAAAUAACGCCUGAGUUAUGCAAGUCCGUGUCUGUGAAGCGCUUAAAGUUUUCUCCAGGAAUGCUGAUCAAGCAAAGCCAGGAUGAUGGAGGUGAUGAAGUAUCAUGGAGAAUAUCUCCAGUGAAUGAACGACUUCAUGCCGUGUCCAAACAACUACCAGAGAUGGUAAAAGUGUUGGCGGAUUCAUCACGCUUCAACUCCUUAAGUAUUCAAGAAUGUUCGCUGAAAAAGACGUCUCCCGGGACAGAAAGAAAGUUUGAGAAGCGGCUUUGUUCACCUCCACUGAAGGCGCUUGAUAAAUCAUUAGUAAGCUCAAAUAGGGCUAGCUUGAGAAACAGAAACACCGAUCAUGUAAUGGAUCUGUGGGAAACCAAUGGAAACUUAAGCUGCCAGAGCAAAGCUGAAGUAACUAACAGUCAGAGUCCUUUUCAGACUCCACCAUCUUUGACAUACGGCAGCGAUAAGCCUGCCAAUGUGGUCAAUAAUAAUGAAUUCUCUGAUCAGCUUGGUUCAAGGCAACACAAAAAGGCAUUGAUUGAGCUUUUAGACCAAGUAGAAGAUGUAAUUUCGGUUGAACCAAAAUCUAAAGAGAAAGUUGCCCAUAGUCAUGAUGAACCAGCUAAGCCAGCUUCCAUUGUACUAGAAGAUGUAAUUUCUGUUGUACCAAAAUAUGAGGAGAAAGUUGCAUCCCAUAGUCAUGAAGAGCCAGCUGCCAUUGUGCUAGAAGAUGUCAUUAAUGUUGAACCAAAAUGUGAGGAGAAAGUUGCAUCCCGUAGUCAUGAUGAACCAGCUAAGCCAGCUGCCAUUUUGCAGAAAUCGGCAGAAAGUUUUUGUGCACGUGACCAAAGGAAAGAGUCAACUAUCUAUUUUCUUGUAUUGGAGGUUUCUGAGAAGCAUGGACAAGUUGAAACAUCUGGACAGCAGUAUUCCUUCAAGGUUUUGCGUAUACUGAAUGAACAAAGUGGAGAAGAGCGGGUUUUGCAUUUGAGGGAUGAGUGGUGCUAUAGUGUUGUUGCACCAGGAGAUACUAUUCAUGUCAUUGGUGAGUUUGACAGCGAAGGAAAAUGUGAAAUAAACCGCGAGAAGAAUUUUCUCAUUGUUCAUCCAGAUGUUUUAGUCUCUGGAACAAGGGUUGCUUCCAGUUUCAGUUGCUCAAGGCGAGCUGUGCUGGAUGAGAGGUUAAAAUCUGGCGAGUAUUCAGCUGCAGCAUUGAUUGGUACAUUAUUGCAUCAGAUGUUUCAGGCUGGGCUGAUCAGAGAGUCCCCUACACAAGAAUUCUUGGAGGAUUAUGCAAGGAUAGUGCUCCAGAAAAGUCUUGAGAGCCUAUAUGCAUGUGGAGUUGAUGAAAAUGAUACUCACAAGACAUUGAUUGAGGCAAUUCCAAAACUGCUGAAUUGGAUACGUUCCUUCCAAUAUUCAGAGGUUUCAGAAGGCCCAAGUAUUGAUUUUGGAAGUGAAGACGGAGUUAAGAAGAUUAAAGUAUGUGAAGUACUUGAUAUUGAAGAAAUGGCAUGGGCCCCAAAAUAUGGGUUGAAAGGCAUGAUUGAUGCAUACUUGCGAGUAAAUGUAAAAUUCAACACCAGUAAACAUAAUGAGAUGAUUAUGCCUCUCGAAUUUAAAACUGGGAAGGCAACAAAUGGACUGACAGCUAUGGAACAUAAUGCUCAAGUGAUGCUGUAUACCCUUCUAAUGUCAGAAAGAUACUCGCAGCAUAUCGGACAUGGUCACCUGUAUUAUCUGCACACAGAUCAUACGCAGGGAAUUACUGUUCGAAGAUCUGACUUGGUUGGCCUAAUAAUGCGCCGUAAUGAACUUGCAAAUGAUCUUCUCAAGACCACUAUAACUCAACAACUGCCACCAAUGUUACAGAGUCCAAAUAUGUGCAGAGGCUGUCGACACCUCAAUGUCUGUACUGUUUAUCAUAAGGCAUAUGGUGGCACCACAGAAGGUAGCGGUUUGGGCGGUGUGUUUGAUUCACUUGUUAGCCAUCUAACAAUUGCACAUACUAAUUUUCUUCAAAAAUGGGAUCAGUUGAUUGACUUGGAGGCUAAAGAAGUUGAGGUUGUAAAGAAAGAAAUUUGGUGUUCACAAAGUUCAAAGAAUGACUUUUACGCUUCUUACUUAUCUUCUCUUGUCCUUGAUACAUCAGAACGAACCACACCAACAAACUUUUGCAAAGGAAAUCAAUUUACUUAUCACUUUGUACAUCGAGAUUGGACUUCCUUGGGCACUCAUCAACAGGAUGGAGAUGCUCUUAAUAGUUAUAAUUUUCCCAUGAAAAAGUUUGAAUCCUCACUUAGGAAUGGGGAUUAUGUGGUAUUGAGCACUGAACCUGGUGGUAUACUAAUAGCUACUGGAGUUGUUGUAGAUAUGAGUUGCUCUCGCAUCUCGGUAUCUCUUUCCAAACGCUUAAGGCUUCCAGGUAGCAGCCGGACUUCACAGGCACAAGAUCUUCAUCAGCAGUUGUGGCGAAUUCAUAAAGAUGAAUUUAUGGGUUCAUUUGCAAUUAUGAGAUUCAACCUCAUACAACUAUUUCUGCAAAAUGAGCAGAGUUCUCAUCUGAGGAAGAUGAUAGUUGAUCUGGAGGUGCCUAGGUUUGAUAGUGGAUGCCAAUUUAGUCAAGACCCUGCCAUCUCAUACAUUUGGUCAGAGAAAAACUUGAAUGACGAUCAGCGCCGAGCCAUACUUAAGAUACUUACGGCAAAGGAUUAUGCGCUGAUACUAGGAAUGCCAGGGACAGGUAAAACAUCCACUAUGGUCUAUGCUGUGAAGGCGCUGUUGAUGAGAGGUUCAUCCAUUUUGCUUACCUCCUAUACAAACUCAGCUGUUGAUAAUCUGCUUCUCAAACUGAAGGCUCAGGUCAUCUCCAUCCUUGAUGCUUUGUCUCUUUUCGUCUUCUUGAGCCGAGGGUCUUUCGGAAACAGCCUCUCUACCCCCUCGGGUAGGGGUAACGUCUGCGUACACACUACCCUCCCCAGACCUCACUAGUGGGAUUUUACUGGGUCGUUGUUUUUGUUGUUGCUGUAUCUCAAAAAUUUAGAAGGCAUAGGAGUUGAUGUGUAGCAUUAGAUGAAACUGGUUGAUUUAAGAAGGGCCUACUAUGGCAACUACACUCCCUAGCUGCUUCUACUGGUAUUAGUAUUACAUCAUUAUUUCCUCUUUAUCGUUCGAUCAUUUAGAAGCAUACACCUCACAUUUUACUACCUCCAAUCUCCUGAAAUAAAUUCUAGCAUAAAGCUGCUUGGUGGUGACUCCAUCGAAUAAAAUCCUUUUUGAAUCACCAAAUUGUCGCAUCCAUUGAAAUCCCUUCCUCCACUUGUGAGAAUUUGAUGCAUAUGCAAUGUGGUCAGUGAAUGGGCGUUAAGGAGGAUCUCCACCUCUCAUUUGAAGCUCUGCUGGAAGUAUGUGUUCUCGCAUGGAGUAACGGGUUGAAGGAGCCAUCAAGGAAUUGGACAUCCCUUUAGAAAGGGCUGGAAGACCCUUUUAGAUGCGAAAUUCCUCGUUUUUUUCCUCACAUUCCGUUGGUCAAUUACGAACCAAGGUGCUCUACUUCACUACUUGUAAGGUGUGACGUAUGAUUCAUUGACUUUUAAUUUAAUAAAAGAAGACAUUUAAAAUGCGAAUUUCUUGCUAUUUAAUGGAUAAGGGAAUAGAUUAUAGCUGUUCAGCUUAACUCAGUGCAAUCCUGUAGUAAGUACAACUCAAACUUAGGCAUUCAACUGUUAAAUAUAAACCCUAAACCCUAAACCUAUAUUUUUAAAAUAUAUAAUUAAUAACAACCUUUAAAGUUUAAACUGUUUUGUAACUUGAAGCAUUUUCAGGGAAAACUAACAAAUGCCUAUCAGUAAUUCUAAACACAGGAUAUCUUGAGUCCAAAUUGAUAAACAAGUCAUUUACUUUGAAGUUGAUUCCCCCAUAUUGUAGAUCAUGUAUAACUUGGUCUCACCAUGAAAAGUUUUAGAUAGCGCUGUUAAGCUGUUGAUGAAUUAGUAGACAAAAUAUUCGGAUAUAUGUUAGUGGGGCUUAGGCGAAGGGGCAAACAAAUAUAAUCUAUUAGCUUCAUGGCUGUAAACCAAAAUUCUGCCCUUAUAACACUUAUCCUCACAUACAUUUAGAUCAAAUCAAGAGCCUGCUGAUUUCUAAGGUAAAAAAAUAACUCAAUUACCUCUUCGUGUAUAAAUGUAUCAAGUUAAAGAUCCUUCUUUUUAUCCAUUUAGAUAUUCAACUAUACGCAGUGGCUCUGCAAGUAAAAUGAAGCUGAUUGACUGACAUGCAUGUAAGCGUUAUCGAGGAAAAUCUCUCUUUUCCUCUUCCUCUAAGGGCAUGGU
This is a non-coding RNA of Nicotiana tabacum (common tobacco), 4981 nucleotides long. NCBI's taxonomy places the organism in Eukaryota, Viridiplantae, Streptophyta, Magnoliopsida, Solanales, Solanaceae. The record is from RefSeq and is a predicted model, not a curated record.